This 335-nucleotide ribosomal RNA is filed under the name uncultured bacterium. RNAcentral describes it as "bacterial SSU rRNA". It matches the Rfam family "Bacterial small subunit ribosomal RNA", at positions 1 to 334 of the family's 1533-position model. The record is from RNAcentral.
GUAGACUAGUCAGAGUUUGAUCCUGGCUCAGGAUGAACGCUGGCUGUGUGCCUAAUACAUGCAUGUCGAGCGAAGUGAUUUAUCACUUAGCGGCGAAUGGGUGAGUAACACGUACUCAACGUACCCUUCAGUUUGGCAUAGCGGUUGGAAACAACCGAUAAUUCCAAAUACUCGUAGAUGCCGCAUGGCAUUUACGGAAAAGACGCCUUAAAGCGUCGCUGGAGGAGCGGGGUGCGCAACAUUAGCUAGUUGGUAAGGUAGCGGCUUACCAAGGCGAUGAUAGGUAGCCGGCCUGAGAGGGUGGACGGCCACAAGGGGACUGAGAUACGGCCCUU